CUCGCGUCUGUGAUACGCGAUUUUCUAAUGAGUACCAGUCCGUGCAGCUAACCCCAACACCAGUCGUCGUCCCCAUUUGAUUCUCUCUCUCUCUCUCUCUCUCUCUCUCUCUGUAUACAUGUAAUAUUUCCAUGGAUCUUCAUUCACAAAUGGGCAUCAAUCUUCUGUAAACUGAUUCUGGCAUCACAUAUUGAGGUGCUCCAAUUGCUGGCUCAGCAGUCGACCAGUUAGAGGACGUCGUGGGUUACGUGAGUUUUGGAGGACACCACAAAGCCAUUCUACAAUCUCCUAAACACGAAGCUUUUUGUUAUGGGUACCCGAGAUGGAUUCACUAGCGUUAAACAUUGCAAAACAAACUGAAAUCUGCUGCAGGUCAUGUUGAAACUCAUCUUAUCGUACGAGUAAGCCAUUUAUUAAUGGAAGGACCAGAUUACGAUGCUCAGAUGGUCGAUCUGAUUGUUCAAUUCAUUAGGUCAUUGUCUAAUUCAGCUAGCCUAGUUGCUCUCGAUCAACAUGCUGAUGAAUGAACAACUGCACAAGUCCUAGGUGUUGCAGUGUUGAACUUUGUACUUGGCACCAGAGAUCGAUGGUGAGUGACAUUUGAUAAACCUCAUCUGGUAAAGUUCCUCCAAGGAGGCUUCCGGAGAAGGUGGGUCUCAAGUAGAUGGAGACACAAGUCCUCCCUUUGUCCAAGUGUCUAAUCAAGAGUGUUUAAGAUCAAGUGUGCAGUGUUGAUCUCGGGUGUGCAGGUGUAUGUAGCUCAGAGAUGGGAGCUAUCGGUAGUCUGUUGUAGCUUGUAUUUUUGUGCAAGGACAAACUAGGAAGUUUACGUACUUGUGGAUUCUGUUGCAUGUUUGUGUGAAUUGCAGAAAUGUGAUUUCAUUCAAUCGCA
Molecule: long non-coding RNA, 892 nt
Organism: Rhododendron vialii
Lineage: Eukaryota; Viridiplantae; Streptophyta; Magnoliopsida; Ericales; Ericaceae
Exons: 2
Source: RefSeq, a predicted model, not a curated record